GGAGGAGUGGCCGAGCGGUCGAAGGCGGCGGUCUUGAAAACCGUUGUGCGAAAGCACCGGGGGUUCGAAUCCCUCCUCCUCCGCCG
RNAcentral lists this transfer RNA (86 nucleotides) under Deltaproteobacteria bacterium. RNAcentral describes it as "tRNA-Ser". It matches the Rfam family "tRNA". From Rfam's summary of the family: Transfer RNA (tRNA) molecules are approximately 80 nucleotides in length. Their secondary structure includes four short double-helical elements and three loops (D, anti-codon, and T loops). The record is from RNAcentral. Lineage: Bacteria; Pseudomonadati; Myxococcota; Myxococcia.